Molecule: long non-coding RNA, 418 nt
Organism: Calypte anna (Anna's hummingbird)
Lineage: Eukaryota; Metazoa; Chordata; Aves; Apodiformes; Trochilidae
Exons: 3
Source: RefSeq, a predicted model, not a curated record
AUCCAGUUCACCAUUCAGCUCACCUGGGACAUCCUGGCACCAGUCUGGUUCUGAACAGAAGUCCAGUAGGAAGCAUCCCCAGCUCACCCAUAGGAGCAGAACCAUUGAUGAACAGGAUUUCCUCUUCUGCAGUCAGGGAACUGGAUGAGUUCAUCUCUGAAGAAGUUGUUAAGAAGAAGAUGGUAAGAUGAAGAACAAGACACUGAUGAAUUAUACAUCUUUGGGAGCUUAUUCCAUACCUUUUGAUAGAUCAGAAGCGAUGAAAAUAUGUUUCUGUCAGUCUGAAUAAAUGUUCUGAGUCUGCUGGAUGGAUGACAGCCCUGGUGCCCUGCCCUGGUGGUUUUUUGAUGUGUAGUCCUCUCCGUCUUCUCCUUCCCUAUUCCCUCCUAUCCCAUUCCCUUCCCUCCCCUCCCCCUCC